GGUGUCUUGGAGAAGUGGUUAACUCACUCCCCUUGGUUUCCCGAACAAGCUGGGAGAGGUCAGGGGUUCGAAUCCCCUAGACACCC
This 86-nucleotide transfer RNA is filed under the name Hypoxylon sp. CO27-5. RNAcentral describes it as "tRNA-Pro". It matches the Rfam family "tRNA". From Rfam's summary of the family: Transfer RNA (tRNA) molecules are approximately 80 nucleotides in length. Lineage: Eukaryota; Fungi; Ascomycota; Sordariomycetes; Xylariales; Hypoxylaceae. The record is from RNAcentral.